GUGCUCGCUCUGGCAGCACAUACACUAAACUGGAACGUACAGAGAUUCACAUGUCGACUGUGCAAGGAUGACACACUAAGUCCUGAAGCGUUCGUGUUUUCA
Molecule: small nuclear RNA, 102 nt
Filed under: Myotis lucifugus (little brown bat)
Lineage: Eukaryota; Metazoa; Chordata; Mammalia; Chiroptera; Vespertilionidae
Source: RNAcentral